Molecule: long non-coding RNA, 1807 nt
Organism: Bombyx mori (domestic silkworm)
Lineage: Eukaryota; Metazoa; Arthropoda; Insecta; Lepidoptera; Bombycidae
Exons: 4
Source: RefSeq, a predicted model, not a curated record
AAAAUUGAUUCAAACGAAAUACUUACUUGAGACAUGUUUGACAAUGACAUCCACGAUGAAGGAUUAUCUAUGGUUAUUAUCUAUGGUCAAUGCUUCACCAAUUGACCGGUCAGAUUUUUACAAAAAAUUAAUUCUUAUUUGAGUGAGCGGUACAUCAAGAUUAUUAUUUAUUUAAUCGUUACAUCUUCGAAAAAUACACGUCUAAAGUACACCAUAUUCAAAUACAGGGUACAAUAGCACCAACUACACGAACAGUUCGACGUGCAACUUAACCCACUAUACUUUCUGCCGAAUCUUGCGAAGCGAGGAACACGAAGCGAAGCGAAGCACUACUUUAACUAGUACAAAUGUUAGAAAAUUGUUUCAAAUUGAGCCCCAUCAGCUCGUCCAUCAGUCAAGGUGAAGCCAGAAUAACCCCUCGAGGCUACUCGCAAACAGCGUGCACAUCAUUUCAACAUCACGCAGUGAUUAAAACCUGGAACCGACUACUUUGCUUUCAACUAAUAUAGAUGUAAGGCAACACUAACCGCUGCUGCCCGAGGACGACCUCUGCUGGGCGGCGCGCGCCGGCGUCAGGAAGUCGGCCUCGCGCCAGCCGUGCUUGCGGUACACCUCGCGCAGCUCCGCGUGGGACCACAUCGUCAUCAGCACUUGACCUGGAACAGCACGGGGACUUCAGCUCGGCCGGGACUUAUUGUACGCAUUUAAGUUUUUUUUUUAUGAUUGAAGGAUUACUGGUGGCCCAGAGGCCUUUCCAGUUUCACCAGGACAGGAGGGCAAGCAAAAGCCCAGUCAGACGCAUCUAAGUAUCACAUAAGUGGGGUACGGCAGGGAUGUGCGAAGAACACUGACGUCGAAUCUAAGUGAAGAGAAUCUGUAUUAAUAGGCAAAGACAAAAUUGUUAAAUACCCACUCUCAACUCUGUUUAUCUUUUAAUUUUUUUUAAAGAAUAUAUACCUAAGUAUAGUGUGUCAGUUGUCGAAUUUCAGCAAUUCAGCAAUACUAAUAUAUAAUUAUUCGCUUCGUAUUUCAAAUAACUCGUGCGUUGAAAUAAUUUUCGCACCUCCCUAUUGAAUUUGUCUUUGGUUCUUGAUAAUCAUCCCUUGUCGUAUAAACGGUGCUUUUAGGUACCUGAACCCGUCGCUUACGACGAAGGGCUCGGCGAGUAAAUUAACACAGCCCACUGAGUUUCUCGCCGGAUCUUCUCAGUGGGUCGCGUUUCCGAUCCAGUGGUAAUUUGGUACCCAGCUGAGAUUCGAACACCGGUGCAUCGCUCAACACUAAUGCACCGGACGUCUUAUCCGUUAGGCCACGACGACUUAGGUCGUGGUCGACCACGACAAGAGGUCCUACCACCAGUAAUGCGUUUACGGAGAGUCGUAUAAGUUUUGGCUGGUGACCUGCGAACUUGAGGACCCUGGGCGUGUGCCGGUGCCGCUGCUUGGUGAGGUUGAGGAGCCGCUCCACGCCGCCCGCCUCCAGCAGCGACCGCGAGAACUCGCCGCUCUUCUUUAUCACUUCGUUGAGGGUCGCCAGCACGGCGGCUAUGGUGUCGUCCGAAGUACCCUGGAUUCGUGAAAUUAAACUUUAAUUAGACGAUCUUUACAUUGACGUUUGUGUGAGAAAUGUGUAGAACACUAGAGUGAUUUUUUUAUUUCCGUACCAUUAAGGACACUAUGUGUUAUGUUUUGAAUUUCAAUAUAUUCAUAAACGACCAAUAAAAAAAUGAUUAGUUUUUAAGAGACUUAAACUAAAAAAAACCUGCUCUAGUAACAAGCCAAACUAAAUACAUAUAUAAUUAAUUAUC